UCAGAGUCCGAGUGUGAUGCUGAAGAUUCAAAGAUGAUUCAAUCUCUUGCCAAAGACUCUGAUGAUCCUUUUAAUGAGCUCCCUCCUUAUUUUCUGCACCAUUCUCCUUCCAAAUCACCAGAGUGACUACGGGCCAUGCCCUCCAGAUACGUUGUGUGUCUUGAACUGAGCAAGAUGACGGAGAGAAACAGGAGAAUGACAUCUGCAACCAAGCAGGAAGACUUCUGAAUUAAUUUGGAUUCUGCAUACUUGAUGUACAUAUUUUGAUUUUUUUCCUGCAGACCCCUUAGAGGAAUCACCAAUUUUUGUUUUCCAAAUCAACACAUUUUGAAAGAUUUUCCUUCUACUGUUACUUUGUUAAUUAUGGGUAACAAGUCAUGUGACCUGAUGAAUCAGUUGUAAAUCAGGUGGAAACUGACCUUUAAAAUGACCAGGGGUGUGGUCAUCAGUCACAGGUUAUACAUUACCUUAUGUGACCUUUUAAAAGUGUAUCAUAAUCCAAAUUUUUCUCUGUUCACUGCCGCCUGAUCCAGAAUUAAA
Scleropages formosus (Asian bonytongue) is the source of this 540-nucleotide long non-coding RNA. RefSeq lists it as uncharacterized. The record is from RefSeq and is a predicted model, not a curated record. The transcript is spliced from 3 exons. Lineage: Eukaryota; Metazoa; Chordata; Actinopteri; Osteoglossiformes; Osteoglossidae.